UCAAUUUGCGGCCCCUGUGGUGAGAAAAGGGUCAUGAAUCGCCAAGUUAGCGCAGGUUCUCAACCCCGCCUUCCUGAUGUGAGUCAAGCUUUCCUAAAAGGCCUCUGGCCACCCGACCACAUGCUGCCAGCCAACUCCCACCGAGGACCCCAGUGGGCUGCAUUCUAACGAGCUUGGGGCAGGAGUGGGAGCCCCCCAGGAGCUGACAGGGUGUCGUUUGUGCAAGCAUUAGAUCAAAAGCCCUGAAAAAUCAAUCGGGCAAAGUUAACGAGCAGGCUAAUGAAAGCAGACAGUCGCUAAAUUACCUUCCUAGAGCCCAGGGUAGUCAGUUAGAGAGGUCGGAGUGAGGCUGUUAGCUGUUUGCUUUUCUGCAGAAUCCCCUGCCCACCAGAGGGUCAGGUACGGACAGUGCAGAGACCUAGCCGCUCUCUGUGUGUGGUUUGACCCCAAGGCUCCUCCAUUACCCCCUUUCCCAUCCAUCCCGAUCCUUUGCUUACCCAUCCUGAUCCUUCUCCACCAUUUUCAGCCCCUCCAGGGCUUGGAGGACUCUGCGGGCCACGCUCUUAGAGCCUCUGCUGAAGUGGCUGGGCAUGACACCGUUUCUCUGUCGUCCUCCAUAGAUCUUGGUCAUGGAGCCAACCCCAGCGCCGCCCCGAAGG
Long non-coding RNA from Pipistrellus kuhlii (Kuhl's pipistrelle), 659 nucleotides. RefSeq lists it as uncharacterized. The record is from RefSeq and is a predicted model, not a curated record. NCBI's taxonomy places the organism in Eukaryota, Metazoa, Chordata, Mammalia, Chiroptera, Vespertilionidae. The transcript is spliced from 2 exons.